UCAGGAUGAACGCUAGCGGCAGGCUAACACAUGCAAGUCGAGGGGCAGCGCGAGUAGCAAUACUUGGCGGCGACCGGCGCAAGGGUGCGUAACGCGUGAGCAACAUGCCCGUAUCAGGGGGAUAAUCCAGGGAAACUUGGUCUAAUACCCCAUAGUAAUUUUGUAAGGCAUCUUAUAAGAUUUAAAGCUUUGGUGGAUACGGAUUGGCUCGCGUGACAUUAGCUGGAUGGUAAGGUAACGGCUUACCAUGGCUAUGAUGUCUAGGGGUUCUGAGAGGAAGGUCCCCCACACUGGAGCUGAGACACGGUCCAGACUCCUACGGGAGGCAGCAGUGAGGAAUAUUGGACAAUGGAUGGAAAUCUGAUCCAGCCAUGCCGCGUGAAGGAAGAAGGUCCUAUGGAUUGUAAACUUCUUUUGUAUGGGAGCAAUAAGGCCUACGAGUAGGUUGAUGAGAGUACCAUACGAAUAAGCACCGGCUAACUCCGUGCCAGCCGCGGC
RNAcentral lists this ribosomal RNA (498 nucleotides) under uncultured bacterium. RNAcentral describes it as "bacterial SSU rRNA". It matches the Rfam family "Bacterial small subunit ribosomal RNA", at positions 24 to 518 of the family's 1533-position model. The record is from RNAcentral.